AUAAAGUUUUAUUUUGGCUUAUAUAUUUGUUAUUAGUUUAUUUUAUAUGUAAAUUUUUGUGUUUGUUGGUAAUUAUCUAAAAGAUUAUUAUUUUAAUUAGCAAUAAUUAAUAUUAUUUUUUAUUAAAGAAAUUUAUAGAUAGUAAUAUUUAUAAUAUUGAUAAAUUUUGUGCCAGCAAUCGCGGUUAUACAAAAAAUAUAAAUAAAUUUAGUUAAUAAAAGUUAAUUGUAUAUUAAAAAAAUUUUAGAAAUAAUUUUAUUAGGUGAAAUUUUAAAAUUAAGUAUUAAAAUUUAUUUAAAAUUAAUGAAGCUUAAAACCUUUAAAUUUAAACUGGGAUUAGAUACCCUAUUAUUUAAAAUGUAUUUAUAAAAUAUUUAAGUAGUAUUAGUUAUAUUCUUAAAACUUAAAGAAUUUGGCGGUAUUUUAGUCUGUUCAGAGGAACCUGUUUUGUAAUUGAUAAUCCACAUUGUAUCUUACUUAAUUUUGUUUUUCAGCUUGUAUAUCGCUGUUAUAGAAUAUUUUAUAAGAAAGUUAAUUUUCAAUAAAUUUAAUUAAAUUUAAUAUCAAGUCAAGGUGCAGCUAAUAAUUAAGUAUUUAAUGGGUUACAAUAAAAUUAUUUUUAAUGGAUUUAUUAUUAAAUAUAUAAAUGAAAAUGGAUUUGAAAGUAAAUUCUUAUAGAUUAAAGUUUUGAUUUUAGCUCUAAAAUAUGUACACAUCGCCCGUCGCUCUUAUUGUUUAUUAAAAUAAGAUAAGUCGUAACAUAGUAGGAAUACUGGAAAGUGUUUCUAGAAUGAU
Molecule: non-coding RNA, 795 nt
Filed under: Hybos culiciformis
Lineage: Eukaryota; Metazoa; Arthropoda; Insecta; Diptera; Hybotidae
Source: RNAcentral